This 567-nucleotide ribosomal RNA is filed under the name Vishniacozyma victoriae. Its description in RNAcentral is "partial large subunit ribosomal RNA". It matches the Rfam family "Eukaryotic large subunit ribosomal RNA", at positions 98 to 655 of the family's 3401-position model. Lineage: Eukaryota; Fungi; Basidiomycota; Tremellomycetes; Tremellales; Bulleribasidiaceae. The record is from RNAcentral.
CCGGGAUGAGCUCAAAUUUAAAAUCUGGCGUCUUUCAGGCGUCCGAGUUGUAAUCUAUAGAGGCGUUUUCCGCGCCGGACCGCGUCCAAGUCUCUUGGAAUAGAGUAUCAAAGAGGGUGACAAUCCCGUACUUGACGCGACAACCGGUGCUCUGUGAUACGUUCUCAAUGAGUCGAGUUGUUUGGGAAUGCAGCUCUAAAUGGGUGGUAAAUUCCAUCUAAGGCUAAAUAUUGGCGAGAGACCGAUAGCGAACAAGUACCGUGAGGGAAAGAUGAAAAGCACUUUGGAAAGAGAGUUAAACAGCACGUGAAAUUGUUAAAAGGGAAACGAUUGAAGUCAGUCGUGUGAAAGGUAUUCAGCCGUCUCUGGCGGUGUAUUUGCCUUUCACGGGUCAACAUCAGUUUGAUCCGGUAGAAAAAGGCAGGAGGAAGGUGGCACCCUCGGGUGUGUUAUAGCCUCUUGUCAUAUGUGCCGGACCAGACUGAGGAACGCAGCUUGCCGCAAGGCCGGGGUUCGCCCACGUACAAGCUUAGGAUGUUGACAUAAUGGCUUUAAACGACCCGUCUU